CGGAGGAUCCAAGCGUUAUCCGGAACCAGUUGGGUUUAAAGGGUCCGUAGGCGGGUUUAUAAGUCAGUGGUGAAAGCCCAUCGCUCAACGAUGGAACGGCCAUUGAUACUGUAGAUCUUGAAUUAUUAGGAAGUAACUAGAAUAUGUAGUGUAGCGGUGAAAUGCUUAGAGAUUACAUGGAAUACCAAUUGCGAAGGCAGGUUACUACUAAUGGAUUGACGCUGAUGGACGAAAGCGUGGGUAGCGAACAGGAUUAGAUACCCUGGUAGUCCACGCCGUAAACGAUGGAUACUAGCUGUUCGGAGCAAUCUGAGUGGCUAAGCGAAAGUGAUAAGUAUCCCACCUGGGGAGUACGUUCGCAAGAAUG
This 367-nucleotide ribosomal RNA is filed under the name uncultured organism. RNAcentral describes it as "bacterial SSU rRNA". It matches the Rfam family "Bacterial small subunit ribosomal RNA", at positions 526 to 896 of the family's 1533-position model. The record is from RNAcentral.